Sus scrofa (pig) is the source of this 2219-nucleotide non-coding RNA. Lineage: Eukaryota; Metazoa; Chordata; Mammalia; Artiodactyla; Suidae. The record is from RefSeq and is a predicted model, not a curated record.
GGGGAAGGAGCCCCCUAUAAAUGAGCCCACAGUGGCAGCCUGGCCAGCAGAGCUGCUUGAUCAGCUGUGGGAGUAGCCUCAUUGCCACCAUGAACUUCUCCGGCAAAUACCAAGUACAGAGCCAGGAAAACUUUGAGGCCUUCAUGAAGGCAGUCGGUCUGCCCGACGAACUCAUCCAGAAGGGGAAGGACAUCAAGGGGACAUCGGAAAUCGUGCAGAAUGGGAAGCACUUCAAGUUGACCAUCACUACCGGGUCCAAGGUCGUCCAGAAUGAGUUCACCUUGGGAGAGGAGUGUGAGAUGGAGACCCUGACUGGGGAGAAGGUCAAGGUAGGAGGGGCUCCCUCCCCCACCUCAGGGCACCCUCUGCUUCCAGAACUGUCCCUGGAGCUUAGCCCCAGGGCUUCCUCCCUCAAGGCUCCCACCUCGCAAUCCCCAUGGGGAUGGAUCCCUAUCUCUGAACCCACUGUGUGGUGAGAGGCAGAGAGACAGAAGCAGUUCUUAAGGAGGAAGGUCUUAGGGAAGCUCCCGUUUCCUGGACUGAGGAGCCAUGGCUGGAGCUCUCCCAUGUGGAACAUGUGGGGAACCGGCCCAGAGCAGGAGCCUAAGAUGCAGGCUCUCCCAGGCACAGCAACUGGCAAGUGGGAGUCAGUGCAAAAACCCAAACAGAGCCCGAGGUCCUCCUUGAGCCCAAGGAAACUGGCUUUUGCUGAGCCUAGAGCUGGUGGCCAUGGGGAGAGACUUCCUGGAGGAGGUGAUGGCAACACCAGAGGACCAAGGCCCCAGCCUUCCGGGGUGGUACCUGAGCUCCUGGCCUUUGCUUUCUCAUCUAUGAAAUGGGCACAGUCACCCUUCCCAGCACUAAGGCAGUGGGCUGGGCAGCAUACCUCCGCUGGGCUGUGGCUAAGGUGUUUGAGGACAGCUGGGUGUGGCUAAGGUGUGCAAUGAGAACAUACAGGUGGUGGCAGGGAGUUCCAGGCAGGGGGGUGCCCCUCCCGAAGGGUCUCUCUUCUUCCCUCCAAACCCCCCCAUCCCCACCUUAGCGUCCCCAGGGCCACAGAGGCGCCAUGCUCACUCCCCACCUCCCCAAGAUAGCUUUGUGCACUGGGCUCAGAGGGUUGGUCUUUUACCCCUUCUGAUUUCUGCUCUUGGUUUCUGCUUCCCCAGACAGAACAUUACAGGUCAAGAAAUCGGUGAUGCAUUUUAGGAGGGACAUUUUCUUCCACGCCCACAGUAAGGGGCAGGCCAUGAUGGGUUUUACCACAGGCCUUUUCCAAUGGCCCUUUAUGGAGGCAAAGCUUUAAACUUGGCCAGUGUCUUCUCCCUGCUGGGUUUCCGUUAUCUCUUGCUGGGUGCAUGAAUAAGAGACCACAAUAAGGAAAGAUAAAGAUGGUGGAAUGAAUAAUUCAUACCAACCAAAAAUAUGUGUCCUCCCAGCUGGCCAGUAUUUUGAAUUUUGCUACUCCCUCCCUCCAUUUGCUUGGAGAAUUGCAAGGUUACUAGAGUUUAUUCUAAUGUUUGCUUUUGAGACCACUUAGCGGUCCUAUGUGGAUACCUAGAUCACAUCCCAUAAAUGAAAAGCCUGACAAAGGAACCACCGCCAUUUUCUUUAGUUCUUUAUUAUUAUUAUUAUUAUUUUUUUUUUUUUAGUGCUGUACCCAUGUCAUAUGGAAGUUCCCAGGCUAGGGGUCACAUUGGAACUGUAGCUGCUGGCCUACACCACAGCCACACCCACUGAGCGAGGUCAGGAAUUGAACUCAUAUCCUUAUGGAUACUAGUGGGGUUCGUUCCAGCUGCGCCACAAUGGGAACUCCAGAUUUUCUUUAGUUCUUAAGGCCCCUCAUUUCUAUUCAGAGCCAGAGCACAGGGAGGGGCCAUGUCACACAAAGCCGAGAGGUUUGGUUGCCAUCAUCAGAGACCUACACAGGGAAGCCAACCUCACUGGUAAGAGGUUUACCCUCUUGCAGACCCUUCCUCACAGUUCCUUUCUUCUAUCCCCUGCAGACAGUGGUUCAGUUGGAAGGUGACAAUAAACUGGUGACAACUUUCAAAGGCAUCAAGUCUGUGACUGAACUCAACGGUGACAUAAUCACCAGUACCAUGACACUGGGUGACAUUGUCUUCAAGAGAAUCAGCAAGAGAAUUUAGACAAGUCCGCAUUUCAUAGUCUUAUAUCAUGUAAAAUUAAUGCAAUAAAGUGAACUUUCUUUUUCAAAAAGA